UGCCGGGUGGUGCAAUGGUAGUCACGCCAGGUUUUGGACCUGGAAAUGAAGGUUCGAGCCCUUCCCCGGCAG
Molecule: transfer RNA, 72 nt
Filed under: bacterium
Lineage: Bacteria
Description: tRNA-Gln
Rfam family: tRNA
About the family: Transfer RNA (tRNA) molecules are approximately 80 nucleotides in length. Their secondary structure includes four short double-helical elements and three loops (D, anti-codon, and T loops).
Source: RNAcentral